Molecule: ribosomal RNA, 434 nt
Filed under: uncultured Acetivibrio sp.
Lineage: Bacteria; Bacillati; Bacillota; Clostridia; Acetivibrionales; Acetivibrionaceae
Also listed under: 1 other name
Description: bacterial SSU rRNA
Rfam family: Bacterial small subunit ribosomal RNA
Source: RNAcentral
ACGGGAGGCAGCAGUGGGGGAUAUUGCGCAAUGGGGGCAACCCUGACGCAGCAACGCCGCGUGAAGGAAGAAGGUUUUCGGAUCGUAAACUUCUUUAAGUGUGGAAGAUAGUGACGGUACACACAGAAUAAGCCACGGCUAACUACGUGCCAGCAGCCGCGGUAAUACGUAGGUGGCGAGCGUUGUCCGGAUUUACUGGGUGUAAAGGGCGUGUAGGCGGGCAUUUAAGUCAGAUGUGAAAUACCGGGGCUCAACCCCGGAGCUGCAUUUGAAACUGAAAGUCUUGAGUGCCGGAGAGGAAAGCGGAAUUCCUAGUGUAGCGGUGAAAUGCGUAGAUAUUAGGAGGAACACCAGUGGCGAAGGCGGCUUUCUGGACGGUAACUGACGCUGAGGCGCGAAAGCGUGGGGAGCAAACAGGAUUAGAUACCCUGGUA